GACGAACGCUGGCGGCGUGCUUAACACAUGCAAGUCGAACGGCAAGGCCCUGCUUUUGUGGGGUGCUCGAGUGGCGAACGGGUGAGUAACACGUGAGUAACCUGCCCUUGACUUUGGGAUAACUUCAGGAAACUGGGGCUAAUACCGGAUAGGAGCUCCUGUUGCAUGGUGGGGGUUGGAAAGUCUCGGCGGUUGGGGAUGGACUGGCGGCUUAUCAGCUUGUUGGUGGGGUAGUGGCUUACCAAGGCUUUGACGGGUAGCCGGCAUGAGAGGGGGACCGGCGACAUGGGGACUGAGAGACGGCCCAGACUCCUACGGGAGGCAGCAGUGGGGAAUAUUGCACAAUGGGCGGAAGCCUGAGGCAGAAACGCCGCGGGCGGGAUGACGGCCUUCGGGGUGUAAACCGCUGUCGCCUGUGACGAAGCGUGAGUGACGGUAAUGGGUAAAGAAGCACCGGCUAACUACGUG
Molecule: ribosomal RNA, 468 nt
Filed under: uncultured bacterium
Lineage: Bacteria
Description: partial 16S ribosomal RNA
Rfam family: Bacterial small subunit ribosomal RNA
Source: RNAcentral